AGGAAUUCGUCGCAAUUUUUUCUUCGUUAAUUCUUCAUAUAUUCAUCCGUUUCCCCAAUUCCUGAAAGGGGUUUGGCGGUUUUACCAAUUGAAUUGCGAAUUGGGAUAGCUGGGAUCGGGGGGUUUUGAAUUGAUUUCAUAAUUUAUCGUGGAUUUUUGUUCGUUUUUGGUGGGUUCUUUGUUUGUCGUGUGAUGGGAUUGGGUAACAGUGAGAACAAUUCCAUCGUCGAUGAUGACGGCGACGGCGUCACCGCCGGCGCCGGAGGAGGUGAAGGG
Molecule: long non-coding RNA, 276 nt
Filed under: Linum usitatissimum (flax)
Lineage: Eukaryota; Viridiplantae; Streptophyta; Magnoliopsida; Malpighiales; Linaceae
Description: long non-coding RNA (LUSI_LNC000760)
Source: RNAcentral